UACGUAGGUGGCAAGCGUUGUUCGGAAUUACUGGGCGUAAAGCGCGCGUAGGCGGCUCUUCAAGUCAGGCGUGAAAGCCCCGAGCUUAACUCGGGAACUGCGCUUGAUACUGUCGAGCUAGAGUGUGGAAGGGGCGAUUGGAAUUCCGUGUGUAGCGGUGAAAUGCGUAGAUAUACGGAGGAACACCAGAGGCGAAGGCGGAUGGCUGGGCCAACACUGACGCUGAGGCGCGAAAGCCAGGGGAGCGAACGGG
RNAcentral lists this ribosomal RNA (253 nucleotides) under uncultured bacterium. RNAcentral describes it as "partial 16S ribosomal RNA". It matches the Rfam family "Bacterial small subunit ribosomal RNA", at positions 524 to 776 of the family's 1533-position model. The record is from RNAcentral.